GCAGCCGCCGCGGGAAUACAGAGGGUGCGAGCGUUAAUCGGAUUUACUGGGCGUAAAGCGUGCGUAGGCGGCUUCUUAAGUCGGAUGUGAAAUCCCUGAGCUUAACUUAGGAAUUGCAUUCGAUACUGGGAAGCUAGAGUAUGGGAGAGGAUGGUAGAAUUCCAGGUGUAGCGGUGAAAUGCGUAGAGAUCUGGAGGAAUACCGAUGGCGAAGGCAGCCAUCUGGCCUAAUACUGACGCUGAGGUACGAAAGCAUGGGGAGCAAACAGGAUUAGAUACCCCCGUAGUCCCUGUCUCUUAUAA
This 302-nucleotide ribosomal RNA is filed under the name uncultured bacterium. Its description in RNAcentral is "partial 16S ribosomal RNA". It matches the Rfam family "Bacterial small subunit ribosomal RNA", at positions 508 to 809 of the family's 1533-position model. The record is from RNAcentral.